Molecule: ribosomal RNA, 491 nt
Filed under: fungal sp. IP60_(8E(S))
Lineage: Eukaryota; Fungi
Description: eukaryotic LSU rRNA
Rfam family: 5.8S ribosomal RNA (bases 166-319)
Source: RNAcentral
CAUUACCGAGUUUACAACUCCCAAACCCUUAUGUGAACCGUACCUAUCGUUGCUUCGGCGGGAACGCCCCGGCGCCCUGCGCCCGGAUCCAGGCGCCCGCCGGAGACCCCAAACUCUUGUGUUUUUUUCAGUAUUCUCUGAGUGGCAAACGCAAAAAUAAAUCAAAACUUUUAACAACGGAUCUCUUGGCUCUGGCAUCGAUGAAGAACGCAGCGAAAUGCGAUAAGUAAUGUGAAUUGCAGAAUUCAGUGAAUCAUCGAAUCUUUGAACGCACAUUGCGCCCGUUAGCAUUCUAGCGGGCAUGCCUGUCCGAGCGUCAUUUCAACCCUCAGGGUCCCCGUUCCGGCGGGGAACCUGGUGUUGGGGAUCGGCCCGCCCCGUGCGGCGCCGUCCCCCAAAUUCAGUGGCGGUCUCGCUGCAGCCUCCCCUGCGUAGUAGUUACAACCUCGCAUCGGAGCUCAGCGCGGCCACGCGGUAAAACCCCCGACUUU